GAAGAGUGUGCAGAGCCUUUCCCGGCCAGCGCCUUCACUCUUUGACUCCCUCAGUUAGUCCGCUUGUUUGCGAUUACAGAGGCUGGGGCUGCGAACCGAGGGUCUCGCUCCGCGUCGCCUGGGUCUCUAUCUCAUCCGUAGGUGUGGCCGUAAUGGUGCGGCAGGCUCUGGACUCCUAAAGCUUUGGAGCGAAUUUAAGAUUUUAUUCGUGUGCAUGGCAUAGAAGAUGAAUUCUUCCACCUCCACCAUGAGUGAAGAGCCUGAUGCUCUAUCGGUGGUUAAGCAGUUACGGGAUCUAGCAGCAGAUCCAUUAAACAGAAGAGCCAUCGUCCAGGAUCAAGGAUGUCUGCCUGACCUUAUUUUAUUUAUGGACCAUCCCAACCCUCCAGUCGUCCACUCAGCUUUACUCGCUCUUCGAUACUUGGCAGAAUGCCAUGCAAACAGAGAAAAGAUGAAAGGAGAAUUGGGUAUGAUGUUGAGCCUACAAAAUGUUAUACAGAAAACUACAACUCCAGGAGAAACAAAACUUUUGGCCUCUGAAAUCUACGACAUUCUUCAGUCCUCCAGUAUGGCAGAUGGUGAUACGAAUGCACGUCGAAGGAAAGCUCACUUUUUUCUGGGAACUACAAACAAACGUGCCAAAACAGUGGUUUUGCAUAUAGAUGGCCUUGAUGAUACGUCUCGGAGAAAUCUAUGUGAAGAGGCUUUGUUAAAAAUUAAAGGUGUUAUUAGCUUUGCUUUCAAAUGGCUGUUCAAAGAUGUGUGGUGCGAAUCCGUUCAGAUUUGAAAGCUGAGACUUUGGCAUCAGCAAUAGCAUCAACCAAGGUUAGGAAAGCUCAGCAAGUUGUGAAAAGCGAAAGUGGAGAAGAGAUGCUUGUCCCAUUCCAAGAUACUCCUGUGGAAGUAGAACAGAACACAGAGCUACCUGACUACCUGCCUGAGGAUGAGAGUCCCACAAAGGAACAGGACAAAGCGGGGUCCCGAGUGGGCUCACACCCAGAGGGUGGAGCUAGCUGGCUGGGCACAGCUGAAAACUUUUUAUCCAGAUCAUUUUAUUGGUGACUUCAGUUUGGGG
Callithrix jacchus (white-tufted-ear marmoset) is the source of this 1075-nucleotide non-coding RNA. NCBI's taxonomy places the organism in Eukaryota, Metazoa, Chordata, Mammalia, Primates, Cebidae. The record is from RefSeq and is a predicted model, not a curated record.